GCAAAGAAAAAAGACGAUGAUAAAAGUGUUCAGUUGCAGUUCAUUUCAAAGUUUAUUGCUGGAUUUAGAAUCAGUCAUACAGGUGUAGCAGGGGAACAGCCAAUCACACGGGGAAUACAAAGGCUUAAAUAGGUGAUUGCAGCCAGGUGUGGGGACUGCUUCCUGCCAUUGUCCUGGACUCUGGUUUGGCUCCCCUGUGGGUUGAACUGAUUUAUACUUUUGCCUGUGCUGUGGCGGGUGGCUGCCUCCGGCUCUAGGCUUUGUUGAUAUAUUGGGAGCAGUUUGUUCACUAAUGGAAUACUCCAGGUAUCUCAGCAGUGGUUGUUUUUAUUUAUUUUUUUUAACUACAUAUUUUAGCGAAAUUCUUAAUAGCCAGUUGGCAAAUACAAAUGAGCUGAAUUAUAUUAACCCAGUUUUAUGCCUUUACUUGUAAGCAUAAUCCCUCACAGCUCAGAGUUAUGCAAAGUGCACACUAAAUGGAGGAACAGUCUGAUUUUACCAGAGUUCUUGAUUUACAAACUGUUAAGAUUUUAGAAACUUAUGUCUUCAACUAAAGGCAUCACUUCAGACUAAAGUUACUUUCUGUGUUUUAAUUUCCUUUUUACCUCCAAGAGGAAGGAAUUAAAUUAAACUUGGCACACUUUGUGAAACCAUAAUGAUUUUGUUGCAGCAGGGCUUCUAGGCAAUAAAUUUUAUACUGUUGGUGUUAUUUCCUAUGAAAUGGUGGCACAUUUGCACAUUACUGUGCCUAAAAACGUGCACAAUCUCUCUUUAUUCUGAUACUGAUUCAUGUUCAUCAUUUAUUGGACUGGAUGCUUAAAGUCAUCUUGGCAAUUUAACAACUUAUUGACUUAACGGGCCCUAUGCAUGUGGAGGAACCACCUCCUCAUGAUGGUUACCCACUGUGGGAUGGCAUCUCAUCAACCAGAAUAAGUUGCUUAUAUGUGAACUUGUGGACUCAACAUUAGCUUUAUUGUCCCUUUAACAAGGACAAUGUUGAAAGUGGGUUGUGUUUUUUAACCUUCCAAUCCCCCCAGAAUUUUCAGACUUGAUCGGUCCUCCAAAUCCUUCUCCAUACACAUGAAUGCACAUUCACUUUUAUCUUUACCUCUUGGCUCAACUGAAGGGGAAAAAAAAAACACAAACGGGGGGUCAAUGCGAGCUGGUUGAUUCAGGCAGAUGCUGGCUGACACCUUCACUUAUAUGCAGCAGUGCCGGCUGCAUUAAUGUUGUCAACACAUGUCAUGUUUAUUGAUUAGCUGGACAUUAAUUACCUGUUUGCAUGGAUAAUUAUUUCCAACUUCAAAGACAUUUAACCUCCAGACCCUGUGUACUGUUCAGCUGGGCAACAAAAUAUCUGCUUCUAAUUGGAGGAUAACGAGUCAUCAGGAAAAACUCAAUUAUUAGGUUUUAAACAUUCAGUUCAAAACUGAACCAGCAAUGGUAAUAAAACACAAACUGCAAGAAUGGAGCAGAAUGACUUUUUUAAAUUUGUGUAAUAAUCUUUCAAAAUAGUCACUUUUAGAAAAUGCAUACUCGGAGUGCAAAUGAGUGCAAUUGAAUAUCGAAUGAAAUUAUAU
This is a long non-coding RNA of Oreochromis niloticus (Nile tilapia), 1580 nucleotides long. RefSeq lists it as uncharacterized. The transcript has 2 exons. Lineage: Eukaryota; Metazoa; Chordata; Actinopteri; Cichliformes; Cichlidae. The record is from RefSeq and is a predicted model, not a curated record.